UGGGGGAUAUUGCACAAUGGGCGAAAGCCUGAUGCAGCGACGCCGCGUGGGGGAUGAAGGCCUUCGGGUUGUAAACUUCUUUUGCUCUGAACAAGGCGCACCAUGGGGUGUGUUGAGUGUAGGGGUUGAUUAGCGCCGGCUAACUACGUGCCAGCAGCCGCGGUAAUACGUAGGGCGCGAGCGUUGUCCGGAAUUAUUGGGCGUAAAGGGCUUGUAGGUGGCUGGUUGCGUCUGUCGUGAAAGCUCAUGGCUUAACUGUGGGUUUGCGGUGGGUACGGGCUGGCUUGAGUGCAGUAGGGGAGGCUGGAAUUCUUGGUGUAGCGGUGGAAUGCGCAGAUAUCAGGAGGAAUACCGGUGGCGAAGGCGGGUCUCUGGGCUGUUACUGACACUGAGGAGCGAAAGCAUGGGGAGCGAACAGG
Molecule: ribosomal RNA, 419 nt
Filed under: bacterium
Lineage: Bacteria
Description: partial 16S ribosomal RNA
Rfam family: Bacterial small subunit ribosomal RNA
Source: RNAcentral